Delphinapterus leucas (beluga whale) is the source of this 379-nucleotide non-coding RNA. NCBI's taxonomy places the organism in Eukaryota, Metazoa, Chordata, Mammalia, Artiodactyla, Monodontidae. The record is from RefSeq and is a predicted model, not a curated record.
AAGUAGAAGACGCAUUACUGUUAAGAGGCUGACUUCCGGCAUCUGCAUUCCGUGCCUGUAUCAGCUCCCCUGUCAUCAAGAAAAGCUUGGGAGCUUCCCAAUGAAGUGUGAAGUGUUCUAAGAGACAACACAGGACAAUUUCCUUUGAUGGUGAAGCUUUCCAAAGAAUGAUUGCCUCAGUCAUCUUGGUUCCUGAAUGAUAGUGAACGGAAGCUGAGCUGCAGGCCUGGAAAAGACGCCGAGGUUGGGAGGAAGAAUGGCUGACGCCAACUCCAACUAUUUCUGAAAAGAGUUGCUGGGGACAAAGUGGAGAUGUGGGUAGGCCUCCUCAAGCCGGGCUCUCAGAAGCAGGUGAGAUGCAAGAUAAAGCAAUCGCUUU